GUUCAUGGAAGGUGAUCUCUAUUUCACAGUUCUUUCCUUUCAGAAUCUCUAAAUUUUGAUCAUUUUUCUGCUGCAUAGUUUUUCUAGUUUUGAUGAUUUUAAUUGUUAUGCUCUAUCAUGAAUCAGGCCAAUAAUGUAAUUUUACUGGUGGAAAAUUUGUAAUGUUAUUUUUCUGUUUGUCAAAUUUAGGAAAUCCUAAAAUAGUUUCAUGUGCUCUGACAAUGCAGCUUAUUUGAAUGUCAAAUUAAAAGCAAAAGUGUUCUGUUCUUUCAUGAAAUCCAUAUUCCUCGCUUUAGCAAGAAGCUAUUCCUAGUAGGUAUCACAGGUUAAGAAAGUAAAGCAUAUUGCAUAUGAAGAAUUUAGCCAAAAAAUUGGUCUUCCAGUGUUG
This 388-nucleotide unclassified non-coding RNA is filed under the name Hevea brasiliensis (rubber tree). Lineage: Eukaryota; Viridiplantae; Streptophyta; Magnoliopsida; Malpighiales; Euphorbiaceae. The record is from RNAcentral.